GGGCGUGGCACUGCCCUUGCUCUCCGCACACUGCAGCUCAAAUUACAGCCUCCCUCACCAGGUGCUGACGCCCAGAGGCUCAGAAGUCACUGCACAACACCGGGCAGAAAUCCUCUUCGAAGCCAGCGUCUCCACGUCCGGGCCUGCACAGCAAGCUGUGGUGGAAGCACAGGAAGCCACACACGGAGAAGAUACACAGUCAAGAUACACAGGCGUGAUGGAAAUGUGUGUUGAGGCCGAGAGUCCCUGCCUGAGCACAUGAACGGAGACAAAGGGAAGCAGAGAUACUGUGCAAAGAGACUUUACUCCAUAUAAAGUCCUCAGCGUCUUUAUAUUCCAAACUCAUCAAAAUUAACCCCUUGUGAGAAUGUGACUGUCUGCCUUUCCCUGAUUUUCUUCCCCAUGCAAACCUAUAUACGCACAGUAGAGUCCCUACCGCCCUCUAGUGGCAGGUCACCUGAAAUCCUUAACCCUGCUGGCCACCUAGUUAUAAUAAGUGUUAUCCACACCUAGGGAAUUUGUAUACCAUUGGACGGAACGCUCCAAUACCUUCACUCCCUUGUCAGCAGCCACCCCAGUCUUGCCUUAGAUUGGACCUGGAGUAGUAACAAAACCUCCACAGGAAGCAGGAGACUCAGGUGGCAAGGAAAAUUCCCUGUACAGUCGUAGCAUUAAACACGUUCAGUACUGAAUGUCGUAUUCACUAGAUUCCCCGUAAUUUGUUCUCUAAUCCCAGUGGAUAAGAAUGCCUUGGGAAAAAAAAACUCAAAAGGAAAACUAAGGAGAAAAAUCUGACUUUGUGCAAGUUUCCACUGUCCCUUACACACGGGGCGAUAAUAAUGAAAGCCACCAUCUUUGCAGGGAAUUGAUUUUUAACAUAAAAGCACUUUGAUUAGAGAUGCACACUGAAUAUUGAAGAAGCUAACGCAGUACUAAACAGUCAUGGUGAACGUCUAUUUAAAAUUGUCUCUGGGACCUACUCCCUCUUCAACAAUAUGUU
Molecule: long non-coding RNA, 1000 nt
Filed under: Lepisosteus oculatus (spotted gar)
Lineage: Eukaryota; Metazoa; Chordata; Actinopteri; Semionotiformes; Lepisosteidae
Description: lncRNA (ENSLOCG00000022439.1)
Source: RNAcentral